AGAAACUUAGGAUAGUAUAAACCGAAGGCCUUCAAAGCCUUAGACAAGAGUUAGAUCCUCUUAGUUUCUG
RNAcentral lists this transfer RNA (70 nucleotides) under Symposiachrus trivirgatus. Its description in RNAcentral is "tRNA-Trp". It matches the Rfam family "tRNA". From Rfam's summary of the family: Transfer RNA (tRNA) molecules are approximately 80 nucleotides in length. Their secondary structure includes four short double-helical elements and three loops (D, anti-codon, and T loops). Further hydrogen bonds mediate the characteristic L-shaped molecular structure. tRNAs have two regions of fundamental functional importance: the anti-codon, which is responsible for specific mRNA codon recognition, and the 3' end, to which the tRNAs corresponding amino acid is attached (by aminoacyl-tRNA synthetases). tRNAs cope with the degeneracy of the genetic code in two manners: having more than one tRNA (with a specific anti-codon) for a particular amino acid; and 'wobble' base-pairing, i.e. permitting non-standard base-pairing at the 3rd anti-codon position. The record is from RNAcentral. Lineage: Eukaryota; Metazoa; Chordata; Aves; Passeriformes; Monarchidae.